Brassica rapa (field mustard) is the source of this 1807-nucleotide RNA transcript. It is a transcript of the gene named TLD domain-containing protein 2, with no coding region annotated. NCBI's taxonomy places the organism in Eukaryota, Viridiplantae, Streptophyta, Magnoliopsida, Brassicales, Brassicaceae. The record is from RefSeq and is a predicted model, not a curated record.
UUUCGUAGACCAGCGCCUUAUCCAUUGGGCCAUGAAGUCUUUCUGUUGUGAAGGAUACUUGUAACUAUAAUAAAACAAAAAAGAGCGUGGCGUGAGGUCUAUUUUUUUUUGGUUUCCUCGUCACCGUCGCUCACCCGCCGUCUGUACCGAAUGAUGUUUCUUUAUAAGUUGUUAUGUUAUUAAGCUGUCUCCAAUAUAUCAAAAGGAGAAAGAAAUUUGAGAAGAGAGAGUACUGGAUAAGAUAGACAAGGGAGAGAGAGAGAGAGAUGAUUUAGUUUUAAUCUUUUGAAGAAGUGUUUCUGUUUUAGGUAGAUAAUCUACAGCUAACUAUUACAAGAGAGAGAGAGAGCAGAACUCAAUCUGUGGUAUAGAUUGAUCAGAAAGAUCGUGUGGGUGGAAUCUGAAAGUUUUUAAUUUUUUUCCCACUAAAAAUAGAAAUAGUUUUAAAAUAGGAGGCAACAGAUCAAUGGGGAAGAAGCAGAAAUCAUCAUCAUCAUUGAGAAGCAAAGCAGUUCACUUUGUCACCGAUCUCACCACCGGUCUCCUUAAUCCCAUCUCCGCUCCUCCUCCUCUUCCGGAUGAGGAAGAAGAUGAGUCCAAGAGAGAUCAACUAGAGUCUAAAGACGAACCAGACACUUCUUCCUUCUCUGCUUUCCUUGGCUCCCUCUUGUCCUCACAGGAUCAAGAAGAAGAAGAGGCUGAAUCAAGCGAUACUUCAUCAUCCUCCUCCUCUUCAAUGAAGGAAACUAGUGUUGCAAAGAAGAGCUUGUUGUCCAAGUAUAAACAGCAUUUCAAGAACUUUUACCAGGCUGUUAAGCUUUCCAAGGAUCGAAAGCCUCUUUCGGGGAAUACUGUUGAGGACAAUGGCUUGGAGUUGGAGAUGAAGCAGAUGCAGGAUAAAGAUGACACAGCAACAACAGCCAUUCUUAUACCUGACAUUUCAGAGCCCUCUUUGCUUUUGACUGACCUCUCUAGACGUUCCCUUUAUUCUUCUCUUCCUGCUCUUGUUCAAGGCAGGAAAUGGAUUUUGCUUUAUAGUACAUGGAGGCAUGGUAUAUCUCUGUCAACGCUCUACAGAAAAAGCCUCCUCUGGCCUGGUCUCAGUCUACUGGUAAACUCAAAACACGUUUGGUUUCAUUUCGUUAUCUAUCGACAAAACCAAUGUUGGUUUCAGGUUGUUGGAGACAGGAAAGGUUCGGUGUUUGGUGGGCUUGUGGAGGCGCCUUUGAUACCAACUGAUAAGAAGUAUCAGGGAACCAACAGUACAUUUGUUUUCACUGAUAAGUCUGGACAACCCACUAUAUACCGUCCCACAGGAGCAAAUAGGUUUUACACAUUAUGCUCCAAGGACUUUCUAGCUCUCGGUGGUGGUGGACGGUUUGCUCUCUAUCUAGACAGUGAGCUGUAAGGCUAAGUGGAUCAAGUGCUUACUCGGAGACAUACGGGAACGCUUGUCUUGCAACCUCUCAGGACUUUGAUGUUAAGGAAGUGGAGUUAUGGGGAUUUGUGUAUGGCUCAAAGUAUGAUGAGAUUCUAGCUCUCAGCAAAACAACAGAGCCUGGUGUAUGCAGGUGGUGAUGAUCAUCAUGAUGAAAUGGAAUUUUUUUUUUAAAAAAAAGUGAGGUUAUCUUAUGUAAAUGUGUAGUUAUAUAAAAUGUUUUCUUACCUUGACUUAAAUCACAUCUCAAGUACACUCACUUGUAACCAAGAAACCUUUUUCUUGUUGUUGUUGUUGUAAUGGUUUUGGAAUUGAUAUGUCAAAACAUAAAACUGGUUGAAAUUUCAUCAAUAAAAAUUGGUUUAUGCA